UGAAAGGCCAAUCAAACCGGGAGAUAGCUGGUUCUCCCCGAAAGCUAUUUAGGUAGCGCCUCGUGAAUUCAUCUCCGGGGGUAGAGCACUGUUUCGGCAAGGGGGUCAUCCCGACUUACCAACCCGAUGCAAACUGCGAAUACCGGAGAAUGUUAUCACGGGAGACACACGGCGGGUGCUAACGUCCGUCGUGAAGAGGGAAACAACCCAGACCGCCAGCUAAGGUCCCAAAGUCAUGGUUAAGUGGGAAACGAUGUGGGAAGGCCCAGACAGCCAGGAUGUUGGCUUAGAAGCAGCCAUCAUUUAAAGAAAGCGUAAUAGCUCACUGGUCGAGUCGGCCUGCGCGGAAGAUGUAACGGGGCUAAACCAUGCACCGAAGCUGCGGCAGCGACACUAUGUGUUGUUGGGUAGGGGAGCGUUCUGUAAGCCUGUGAAGGUGGCCUGUGAGGGUUGCUGGAGGUAUCAGAAGUGCGAAUGCUGACAUAAGUAACGAUAAAGCGGGUGAAAAGCCCGCUCGCCGGAAGACCAAGGGUUCCUGUCCAACGUUAAUCGGGGCAGGGUGAGUCGACCCCUAAGGCGAGGCCGAAAGGCGUAGUCGAUGGGAAACAGGUUAAUAUUCCUGUACUUGGUGUUACUGCGAAGGGGGGACGGAGAAGGCUAUGUUGGCCGGGCGACGGUUGUCCCGGUUUAAGCGUGUAGGCUGGUUUUCCAGGCAAAUCCGGAAAACCAAGGCUGAGGCGUGAUGACGAGGCACUACGGUGCUGAAGCGACAAAUGCCCUGCUUCCAGGAAAAGCCUCUAAGCAUCAGGUAACAUCAAAUCGUACCCCAAACCGACACAGGUGGUCAGGUAGAGAAUACCAAGGCGCUUGAGAGAACUCGGGUGAAGGAACUAGGCAAAAUGGUGCCGUAACUUCGGGAGAAGGCACGCUGAUAUGUAGGUGAAGCGACUUGCUCGUGGAGCUGAAAUCAGUCGAAGAUACCAGCUGGCUGCAACUGUUUAUUAAAAACACAGCACUGUGCAAACACGAAAGUGGACGUAUACGGUGUGACGCCUGCCCGGUGCCGGAAGGUUAAUUGAUGGGGUUAGCGGUAACGCGAAGCUCUUGAUCGAAGCCCCGGUAAACGGCGGCCGUAACUAUAACGGUCCUAAGGUAGCGAAAUUCCUUGUCGGGUAAGUUCCGACCUGCACGAAUGGCGUAAUGAUGGCCAGGCUGUCUCCACCCGAGACUCAGUGAAAUUGAACUCGCUGUGAAGAUGCAGUGUACCCGCGGCAAGACGGAAAGACCCCGUGAACCUUUACUAUAGCUUGACACUGAACAUUGAGCCUUGAUGUGUAGGAUAGGUGGGAGGCUUUGAAGUGUGGACGCCAGUCUGCAUGGAGCCGACCUUGAAAUACCACCCUUUAAUGUUUGAUGUUCUAACGUUGGCCCGUAAUCCGGGUUGCGGACAGUGUCUGGUGGGUAGUUUGACUGGGGCGGUCUCCUCCUAAAGAGUAACGGAGGAGCACGAAGGUUGGCUAAUCCUGGUCGGACAUCAGGAGGUUAGUGCAAUGGCAUAAGCCAGCUUGACUGCGAGCGUGACGGCGCGAGCAGGUGCGAAAGCAGGUCAUAGUGAUCCGGUGGUUCUGAAUGGAAGGGCCAUCGCUCAACGGAUAAAAGGUACUCCGGGGAUAACAGGCUGAUACCGCCCAAGAGUUCAUAUCGACGGCGGUGUUUGGCACCUCGAUGUCGGCUCAUCACAUCCUGGGGCUGAAGUAGGUCCCAAGGGUAUGGCUGUUCGCCAUUUAAAGUGGUACGCGAGCUGGGUUUAGAACGUCGUGAGACAGUUCGGUCCCUAUCUGCCGUGGGCGCUGGAGAACUGAGGGGGGCUGCUCCUAGUACGAGAGGACCGGAGUGGACGCAUCACUGGUGUUCGGGUUGUCAUGCCAAUGGCACUGCCCGGUAGCUAAAUGCGGAAGAGAUAAGUGCUGAAAGCAUCUAAGCACGAAACUUG
This 1993-nucleotide ribosomal RNA is filed under the name human gut metagenome. RNAcentral describes it as "bacterial LSU rRNA". It matches the Rfam family "Bacterial large subunit ribosomal RNA", at positions 822 to 2796 of the family's 2925-position model. The record is from RNAcentral.